ACGCUCGACACCUACGGGGGCAGCAGUGGGGAAUAUUGCACAAUGGGGGAAACCCUGAUGCAGCGACGCCGCGUGAGCGAAGAAGUAUUUCGGUAUGUAAAGCUCUAUCAGCAGGGAAGAAACUGACGGUACCUGACUAAGAAGCACCGGCUAAAUACGUGCCCGCAGCCGCGGUAAUCUGAGCGGGCUGGCAAGGC
This 197-nucleotide ribosomal RNA is filed under the name uncultured bacterium. RNAcentral describes it as "partial 16S ribosomal RNA". It matches the Rfam family "Bacterial small subunit ribosomal RNA", at positions 328 to 539 of the family's 1533-position model. The record is from RNAcentral.